Molecule: ribosomal RNA, 541 nt
Filed under: uncultured bacterium
Lineage: Bacteria
Description: bacterial SSU rRNA
Rfam family: Bacterial small subunit ribosomal RNA
Source: RNAcentral
UACGGGAGAAAGCAGGGGAUCUUCGGACCUUGCGCUAAUAGAUGAGCCUAAGUCGGAUUAGCUAGUUGGUGGGGUAAAGGCCGAGCGGGGCGACGAUCUGUAGCGGGUCUGAGAGGAUGAUCCGCCACACUGGGACUGAGACACGGCCCAGACUCCUACGGGAGGCAGCAGUGGGGAAUAUUGGACAAUGGGCGCAAGCCUGAUCCAGCCAUGCCGCGUGUGUGAAGAAGGCCUUAUGGUUGUAAAGCACUUUAAGCGAGGAGGAGGCUUCUGAAGUUAAUACCUUCAGAUAGUGGACGUUACUCGCAGAAUAAGCACCGGCUAACUCUGUGCCAGCAGCCGCGGUAAUACAGAGGGUGCAAGCGUUAAUCGGAUUUACUGGGCGUAAAGCGCGCGUAGGCGGCUAAUUAAGUCAAAUGUGAAAUCCCCGAGCUUAACUUGGGAAUUGCAUUCGAUACUGGUUAGCUAGAGUGUGGGAGAGGAUGGUAGAAUUCCAGGUGUAGCGGUGAAAUGCGUAGAGAUCUGGAGGAAUACCGAUGGC